CAAAUUAUACUUAAAGUUAAGUAUCUCAUUUACACUGAGAUUAAUAUCGGGCAGUUCGAUAUAAUUUGA
Molecule: transfer RNA, 69 nt
Filed under: Paranauphoeta circumdata
Lineage: Eukaryota; Metazoa; Arthropoda; Insecta; Blattodea; Blaberidae
Description: tRNA-Val
Source: RNAcentral